Molecule: long non-coding RNA, 686 nt
Organism: Spinacia oleracea (spinach)
Lineage: Eukaryota; Viridiplantae; Streptophyta; Magnoliopsida; Caryophyllales; Amaranthaceae
Exons: 2
Source: RefSeq, a predicted model, not a curated record
GAAAACGGUUAAGUUAGAUAACCGUCUUUUCCCUUAAUUCAUGAAAAAAGAGAAAGUAAGUAAAAAAUUUAACAAAAUAAUAUUCCCGUAGAAAUAAAUAAAUAAUGGUUUACAAUGAAAACUGUACUAUAGAUCUCACAAAUGACAAACCUAAAUUUAGAUCUCCAGUUACCACUUUCCCUCUGCUCGCCUCCUCUAUCAUCUCCUCAAAAUCUCCUUCUCUAAUUUUUUCGGUUUGCUCCGAUUCAGAUAAUCGAGUUAUCGGUGAUGGAUCCUCCAUGCAAAACAUCAAAAUUGAAUACUUCGUAUAAAGAUUUACCGGAUGACAGCAACCUAAUUUGCGAAAUGCUAGUAUUUGUGAAUUGAGAGAAACUUCCAUUUUCCAUUAACGCCGCCAUGCUAAAGUAUUUGCCGCCGUCAGUCAUAAUAACAAAAUCCAAUUGGCGGUUGAAGUACAGGUUAUUUUGUUUUUGGCAAAGUGGAGAAUUAAAGUUUGCAGCUUGAAAUGGUGAUCAAGCGAGAAGAGAUGGUCUUUUAUGGGUUUUGUUUUAGUUUAUGUAAUCGAAUGAUAUUAUAUGUAGUUAUUACAGAGUAAUUGUAAUCGUUGUAAGAUGUUGUUUGUUUCUUUGCAAUCAAAAUUAAAGCCGCAAUUGGAAUAUAAUGAAGUACUUCGUAUUUGUUGUUAA